This 730-nucleotide ribosomal RNA is filed under the name uncultured bacterium. Its description in RNAcentral is "bacterial SSU rRNA". It matches the Rfam family "Bacterial small subunit ribosomal RNA", at positions 771 to 1501 of the family's 1533-position model. The record is from RNAcentral.
AACAGGAUUAGAUACCCUGGUAGUCCACGCCGUAAACGAUGUCGACUUGGAGGUUGUUCCCUUGAGGAGUGGCUUCCGGAGCUAACGCGUUAAGUCGACCGCCUGGGGAGUACGGCCGCAAGGUUAAAACUCAAAUGAAUUGACGGGGGCCCGCACAAGCGGUGGAGCAUGUGGUUUAAUUCGAUGCAACGCGAAGAACCUUACCUACUCUUGACAUCCACGGAAUUCGGCAGAGAUGCCUUAGUGCCUUCGGGAACCGUGAGACAGGUGCUGCAUGGCUGUCGUCAGCUCGUGUUGUGAAAUGUUGGGUUAAGUCCCGCAACGAGCGCAACCCUUAUCCUUUGUUGCCAGCGAUUCGGUCGGGAACUCAAAGGAGACUGCCGGUGAUAAACCGGAGGAAGGUGGGGAUGACGUCAAGUCAUCAUGGCCCUUACGAGUAGGGCUACACACGUGCUACAAUGGCGCAUACAAAGAGAAGCGACCUCGCGAGAGCAAGCGGACCUCAUAAAGUGCGUCGUAGUCCGGAUCGGAGUCUGCAACUCGACUCCGUGAAGUCGGAAUCGCUAGUAAUCGUGGAUCAGAAUGCCACGGUGAAUACGUUCCCGGGCCUUGUACACACCGCCCGUCACACCAUGGGAGUGGGUUGCAAAAGAAGUAGGUAGCUUAACCUCCGGGAGGGCGCUUACCACUUUGUGAUUCAUGACUGGGGUGAAGUCGUAACAAGGUAACC